This 75-nucleotide transfer RNA is filed under the name Bacillus sp. UFRGS-B20. Its description in RNAcentral is "tRNA-Thr". Lineage: Bacteria; Bacillati; Bacillota; Bacilli; Caryophanales; Bacillaceae. The record is from RNAcentral.
GCGGUUUGUGGCGAAGUGGUUUAAGCACCGGAUUGGUGGCUCCGCAUUCGUGGUUCGAUUCCAUCAGUCGCCCCA